This is a non-coding RNA of Pelobates cultripes (western spadefoot toad), 223 nucleotides long. Lineage: Eukaryota; Metazoa; Chordata; Amphibia; Anura; Pelobatidae. The record is from the annotation of a GenBank genome assembly.
GUGGCCCAUAUCAGCUGCUCCUUGGACUGUCUAUACCACAGCUGGCUAACAUACAGAUUUGGAGGUCAUGUGUGCCCCUUGAAACCUACAAUCCGGCCUGCAGUCUAAAGGAAGCUUGACAUGAUUUAUCAAGCUGCAGUGUUUUUGACAAAUACCCUGCACAAUUUAAGUUAAACGUGGGAUUUUGUUUGUGUUCGUUGUUGCUUUCCAUUUGAUAUCAAUA